GAUGAACGCUGGCGGCGUGCUUAACACAUGCAAGUCGAACGGAGAUAUUAAAAAUGAAGUAAGGAGCUUGCUUCGGACGGAAUGAUUAAUAUCUUAGUGGCGGACGGGUGAGUAACGCGUGGAUAACCUGCCUUAUACUGGGGGAUAACACUUAGAAAUAGGUGCUAAUACCGCAUAAGCGCACAGCUUUGCAUGAAGGCGUGUGAAAAACUCCGGUGGUAUAAGAUGGAUCCGCGUCUGAUUAGCUAGUUGGUGGGUAACGGCCCACCAAGGCGACGAUCAGUAGCCGGCCUGAGAGGGUGAACGGCCACAUUGGGACUGAGACACGGCCCAAACUCCUACGGGAGGCAGCAGUGGGGAAUAUUGCACAAUGGGGGAAACCCUGAUGCAGCGACGCCGCGUGAGUGAAGAAGUAUUUCGGUACGUAAAGCUCUAUCAGCAAGGAAGAAAAUGACGGUACUUGACUAAGAAGCCCCGGCUAACUACGUGCCAGCAGCCGCGGUAA
Molecule: ribosomal RNA, 505 nt
Filed under: uncultured bacterium
Lineage: Bacteria
Description: partial 16S ribosomal RNA
Rfam family: Bacterial small subunit ribosomal RNA
Source: RNAcentral